This 253-nucleotide ribosomal RNA is filed under the name uncultured bacterium. Its description in RNAcentral is "partial 16S ribosomal RNA". It matches the Rfam family "Bacterial small subunit ribosomal RNA", at positions 524 to 776 of the family's 1533-position model. The record is from RNAcentral.
UACGAAGGGGGCUAGCGUUGCUCGGAAUUACUGGGCGUAAAGGGCGCGUAGGCGGAUAGUUUAGUCAGAGGUAAAAGCCCAGGGCUCAACCUUGGAACUGCCUUUGAUACUGGCUAUCUUGAGUUCGGGGGAGGUGAGUGGAAUGCCGAGUGUAGAGGUGAAAUUCGUAGAUAUUCGGCGGAACACCAGUGGCGAAGGCGACUCACUGGCCCGAUACUGACGCUGAGGCGCGAAAGCGUGGGGAGCAAACAGG